Molecule: long non-coding RNA, 4372 nt
Filed under: Heterocephalus glaber (naked mole-rat)
Lineage: Eukaryota; Metazoa; Chordata; Mammalia; Rodentia; Bathyergidae
Description: lncRNA (ENSHGLG00000044812.1)
Source: RNAcentral
GUCGCCUUCCCUUCUCAGAGUAGGCGGUCCUGGCGGGAGUGCACCAAUCACAACGCCUCUUCUUCCCGCCCGUGGGGAUUGGUCCAGGGCUCACGUGAGUCGGCUGAGAGUCAUGUGAUGGCGCUGCCCCAGAGUCUGUAAUGAAGCCGGUGGCUUGCGGUAAAACCCGGAUUUGAAGAAGCCGCGAGCUUCCAGAGGGCAGGGCGCGUUCGGUCCCUUGCCUAGGAAAGGACCCGACGAAUGUGUCACGCGACUUCCCCUCGGACGCAGAGACGCUCCAAACGCUAUUCAGGGUUGGGUCGCUGAGCCCGGCAGAGCCCCUGCCUAGGCUGCCUUCGGCCCUGUCGUACCUGGGGGGAGGGUAGGCCCGUGUCCGCUCGGUGUGGCCGCCUUGUUACCUCUGCGACAGCGGUGAGGGCUCACAGGUGACUGCGGGGCCCCAGCCGAGGAGAGACGGUGGGGACGCACAGCCUGGAAGUGGGGAAUCGGGUGGACCAGCACCUUCUGAAGCCAGGUGGAGCCCACUUCCGUGCACAGCGAGUCACUGUUUCCUACGCAAGCUUUGGUGGCCCUGGACGACCACCCCUGUGCGUCCCAGGCUCCCAUGCCCCGUCGGCAGAAAUGCCAGGCCCCUUAAGCUUCUUGCACCAGAGCCAGCAAAAGAAGUGCAGGAGAGAGGAAUCAGGAAGCCAUAAGCGUGGGAGGAAGAGAAAUGGGCCCGGGCCUAAAAAGAAAUGGCUGUCCACAUUAGAUAAAAGAGGCAGAAAUCCCUGCCUUCACAGAACCUGCCUUUAGUGUCUGGAGAUGAGAAGCAAGAUGAAUAAAACCCACUCUUGGGCCAAGGAGGUAGAUCAGUGGUAGGGCACUUGCCUGAUAUUCGCAGGGCCCUGGGUUCAAUCUCUAGUGCCAAGGAAAUCAAAACAAAAACCCUGUAAUAUCUUGGAACGUAGUGGUACAGAGAAAAACUAAACCUAGGGACCUGUAGGAAGGGUGUGAGGAUGGGUGUCCUUUAUGUAGGGCCUUCUUAUGGGGCUGGGGAUGGAGGUCAGUCGUACAGUGUCUGCCUAGCAAGUACGAGACCCUAGGCUCGAUCCCAGUACUGCCAAAAAAAAGAACAGAGGUGAGGGACAGUACUGCCAGCAGAGGGCGUGGCAGGUGCCCAGGGCCCUGGGCUGGGAAAGACCUGCAGGGCAGUGAGCGUGGGCGAUGCUAGCGGGUUGCCACCAAAGGAGGCCAUGGCAGGGUCCGCAAAGGGGCGUGGUCAGCCCUACUUGGUAACCGGCACCGUGUGCUGUUGGCCAGAGCACUGAGGACAGUGAGUGGACCACUUCGAUCAUGCACUUAGGAGGUGAGGGUAACCUGAACCCCAGUGGUGGCCGUGCAGAGAGAAGCAGUCAGAUCGCAGAGGCAUCCUGAAGGGAGGAUUACAGAGCUGUCUGGUUGGCUGGAAGCCUGUCUUCCCCUUCGUAGGGUCACCUCCACCUCAUUUCCGCUUCAAGCAUCCAGUCCACAGAGGGACAAGAGCUCAAUCUCAGCCCAUCUGGGAUCCCCUGCAGUGGCUGCUGCCAUGUCAUGGGGGGUGGGGAAUCUGGUCCCCUGUACUCCUGUCACCUAUGCUGGCACCCGCAGAGUCUGACCUCAGCACACACAGCAUGUCCUGCUGAAAUGGCACUGGAGGGCAGGCAGACCAAGGAAGAGAGCGGCACUCAGAGAACUGAAGGCUUCACAUCUGUCUGAGCCCGCUUUGGAGGCAAGCAACUACCCCGCUGCUCUGAAAUUGCCAGGUGGUCUCCUCGCCAACAGCCCCCGGACACCCCCCAGCCUCCCCUCCGCCACCUUUGUCUAGGUCAGGCAGCAGCUGGCAGCCAGCUCCUUGCCUUGAUGCUGCCCUCCACAGCCUGGGGGAGCCUGGCUCGACACAGCCCCUCAUCCCUCCAUGUUUUGUAAGGCUCAGCUCUUGGAGCUUAGAGGCUACCACACAGCGCUGUGCUGAGCGGGCACUGUCCGCAGACCUCAAGCCCCACAGGCUCUGCCACUAAAGCACUGGCACCAGACGGCUCUUCAGAUUUGUGCCUGGCCCCAGCCCCAGAGUCACAGCCUCGGAGGCAGGGGAGCCCUGCAGUGAGGACCUCGGUGGCCCCAAGCUCAUCUGCCCUCAGCAGCCGGUUUCCAGUGCAGGCCGCACCAGCUAGACACCAGGCCAUGAUUUCACAUGGGGAACAGAGUGCAGAGAAGUCAAAUAGUACUGGAGAUCGAACUCAGGACCUUGCACAUGUGAGCAGAAGCCCAAGGGCAAUCAAGGCUCUGCACGGCCCAGCUCCGGCGACCACAGCAAAGCUCCAGCCCGCCCUUCAGGAAGAUGCAGCGGCCCAAACAGUGCCCCCUCCAGUCAGGGCCGCUGAACCAGAGCUGCGGGGUCUCCGCAGGGCGACCUCGCCUGCACCCCGAGGCAGUGACCUUUGUGUUCUGCCAGGUGGGGGCUGGAGUUUGCAGCACUCGGUUCUGCCACUUAGGGUGCAAACAUGGCAUCGGAACCUCCGCCUGGCCGCGACACGUGGCGUGCGAAGAGGACACAGGGCAGAACGCAGCGGCGAAGGAGGCCGGAUCCACCCAAAAGUGCGGGACUCAGGUAGAGCUGGCACCCCUGAGGGCGUGGUCUUGAGGCCACAGUGAAAUCCUGCUGUCCACACCUGUGGUUCCGCAGCCACCACCAGAGACCCCUGGGCUGAGGCUGAGUUUGCAGCCCCUCUCAUUCCGCGAGACCGCAGUAGAGAAGGAAGUGCAGGGCACACCUCCAGGCACCGCCAUUGGCACUAGAGCGCUCACAGAGGUACUGGCAAGUUCUCUUCUCUGUCCCCCUCAGACACAGCUUUGGCCCUUCUUUUUAUGAAGAACACAAUGAGUAACACACACACACAUGCACACACGAGCACGUGUGUGUGUAGUAGGGGGACUGAACCCAGGGCCUGUGCACUAAGCUGCCUCAGACUCCUAGCGUGUGGGGUUAGAGGUGUGUGGCACCACACCUGGCACAUCUGUCACUCUAAUCUGUCUGAAGUGGUCGACCCGACGGCCCCAGGAAGUCUUGGGCGGCUCCAUCUCCUGGCAGAGGGAGCCCUGUCUUCCGCCUUUACACAGCGAGGACUCGGCAUGGUGGGAGGGCCUGGUGGAGGAGAGCUGCUCACAUCUUGGUGACCAGGAAGCAGAGAAGGGAGCACUGGGACAGCGUCACCACUCUCCUAGGGCUGCCACAGCAGAGGACCGUGAACUCUGUGGCUGAGACUCGGGGAGCAGCCUCUCCCCAGCCUCCUCCUAGCUGCCAGGAAUCCGGGGGCGAGACAGAACCUUCUGGACCCAAGAGAGAGCCUGCCCUGUGCCUCUCCUUAUGGGCACCUGAUGGCUCCUGGCCACAUGUGGCCUCCUUGGCUGGUGGACGCAUUUCCCCUGUCUCUGUCUGUUGUCACAAGGCCUUCUUCCCGUGGACAUUUAUGUGUCUGGGUCCAGAUUUCCCUCUUCUUUUUGGUGUUUUGAGGCAGGUCUCACCAUGUAGGCCAGGCUGGCCUUGAACUCACAGAGAUCCUAUUGGAUUUAGGGCUCAUCCUAAUUCAGAGUGGUCUCAACUCGGUUUCAUCCACAAAGACUUAAUUUCCCAAUAAGGCCACAUUCACAGACCUGGCAGGCCUUCAGCAUGUUUUGAGGGAAGAAAAUUCGUUUCAUGGUGUCUUCCCAAAAGAGUUAGAGACAUCAUGUUACAGUGACCCAAGGACACGGUGUUUAUAGCAGCACGACUCAUCAUAGCUAAAUCUUGGAAGCAGUCUAUAAGCUCAUCAACGGAUGAAGAAAAUGUGGUAUUUACAGACAAUGGAGUACUACUCUGCCAUAAAGAAGGAUAGACGAGUCAUUUGUAGGACAAUGGGUGCAUCUUGAGACUGGAAUGUUGUGACACAAGUCAGACACACAUGGCUGACUAAAUAUCACAUGGCUUCUCUUAUAUAAGAAACCCAGAGUAAAAAUAAAGACCAAAUAAAAAACAUGAAAGAAAGGAAGCAGGUCUUUCUCAGAGGGAAAGGGCUUCAAGAGGUGGAGGAGGAGGGAGGGAAGGGAUAAGGACCACCAAGGAACGGAAACGUUAUUUGCUACAAACACGGACCCAAAAAGGGAGAGGAGGAAGGGGUGGGGGGAGGGAAGGGAAGGAGGUGAAGAAGAAAUGCCCGUAGGAAACAUGUACUAAUUAACAUUUAAAAACCAAUCCGUCGGUCAGUAAAAGGGCACAGACAGGUACCGGGAGUGGCCACACUACUAUCAUUGACAGCAAGUGCCUCCACGAGAAGUGGAGACAGUGACCUGCGGCCAAGCUCCAGCUUGCAGCGGU